This 934-nucleotide ribosomal RNA is filed under the name uncultured bacterium. Its description in RNAcentral is "bacterial SSU rRNA". It matches the Rfam family "Bacterial small subunit ribosomal RNA", at positions 8 to 916 of the family's 1533-position model. The record is from RNAcentral.
AGAGUUUGAUCCUGGCUCAGAACGAACGCUGGCGGCGUGCCUAACACAUGCAAGUCGUGCGAGAAAAGGGGGGCAACUCCUGAGUAAAGCGGCGCACGGGUGAGUAACACGUAGGUAACCUACCCCCGAGUCCAGGAUAACCUACCGAAAGGUGGGCUAAUACCGGAUAUGACCACGGAAGUUUCGGCUUCUGCGGUGAAAGGUGGCCUCUGCUUGCAAGCUACUGCUCGAGGAUGGGCCUGCGCGCCAUUAGCUAGUUGGUGAGGUAACGGCUCACCAAGGCGAUGAUGGCUAGCUGGUCUGAGAGGAUGGCCAGCCACACUGGGACUGAAACACGGCCCAGACUCCUACGGGAGGCAGCAGUGGGGGAUAUUGCGCAAUGGGCGAAAGCCUGACGCAGCGACGCCGCGUGGGUGAUGAAGGCCUUCGGGUCGUAAAGCCCUGUCGAGGGGAACGAAACGGUCUCGACCUAAUACGUCGGGGCCCUGACGGUACCCCUAAAGGAAGCACCGGCUAACUCCGUGCCAGCAGCCGCGGUAAUACGGAGGGUGCAAGCGUUGUUCGGAAUCACUGGGCGUAAAGGGCGUGUAGGCGGUCCGCUAAGUCUGAUGUGAAAGCCCGGGGCUCACCCCCGGAAGUGCAUUGGAAACUGGUGGACUCGAGUCCCGGAGAGGAGGGUGGAAUUCCUGGUGUAGCGGUGAAAUGCGUAGAUAUCAGGAGGAACACCGGUGGCGAAGGCGGCCCUCUGGACGGUGACUGACGCUAAGACGCGAAAGCGUGGGGAGCAAACAGGAUUAGAUACCCUGGUAGUCCACGCUGUAAACGAUGAGCACUAGGUGUCGUGGGUAUUGACCCCCGCGGUGCCGCAGCUAACGCAUUAAGUGCUCCGCCUGGGGACUACGGCCGCAAGGUUAAAACUCAAAGGAAUUGACGG